CUUUAGCGAUUGGGGUGAAAAUCCUUUUUGAGGCUUUUGCACCUCAAAAAGAUUUUUACUAUAAUUUUAU
Molecule: unclassified non-coding RNA, 70 nt
Filed under: Flavobacterium psychrophilum DSM 3660 = ATCC 49418
Lineage: Bacteria; Pseudomonadati; Bacteroidota; Flavobacteriia; Flavobacteriales; Flavobacteriaceae
Description: Flavo-1 RNA
Source: RNAcentral